CCAGUAGUCAUAUGCUUGUCUCAAAGAUUAAGCCAUGCAUGUCUAAGUAUAAGCAAUAUACCGUGAAACUGCGAAUGGCUCAUUAAAUCAGUUAUCGUUUAUUGAUAAUACCUUACUACUUGGAUAACCGUGGUAAUUCUAGAGCUAAUACAUGCUGAAAAUCCCGACUUCGGAAGGGAUGUGUUUAUUAGAUAAAAAACCAAUGCCCUUCGGGGCUUUUUGGUGAUUCAUGAUAACUUUACGGAUCGCAUAGCCUUGCGCUGGCGACGGUUCAUUCAAAUUUCUGCCCUAUCAACUUUCGAUGGUAAGGUAUUGGCUUACCAUGGUUUCAACGGGUAACGGGGAAUUGGGUUCGAUUCCGGAGAGGGAGCCUGAGAAACGGCUACCACAUCCAAGGAAGGCAGCAGGCGCGCAAAUUACCCAAUCCCGACACGGGGAGGUAGUGACAAUAAAUACUGAUACAGGGCUCUUUUGGUCUUGUAAUUGGAAUGAGUACAAUUUAAACCUCUUAACGAGGAACAAUUGGAGGGCAAGUCUGGUGCCAGCAGCCGCGGUAAUUCCAGCUCCAAUAGCGUAUAUUAAAGUUGUUGCAGUUAAAAAGCUCGUAGUUGAAACUUGGCCUGGCUGGCGGGUCCGCCUCACCGCGUGCACUCGUCCGGCGGCCUUCCUUCUGAAGAACCUCAUGCCCUUCACUGGGCGUGCUGGGGAAUCAGGACUUUUACUUUGAAAAAAUUAGAGUGUUCAAAGCAGGCCUUUGCUCGAAUACGUUAGCAUGGAAUAAUAAAAUAGGGCGUGCGUUUCUAUUUUGUUGGUUUCUAGAGACGCCGCAAUGAUUAACAGGAACAGUCGGGGGCAUCAGUAUUCAGUUGUCAGAGGUGAAAUUCUUGGAUUUACUGAAGACUAACUACUGCGAAAGCAUUUGCCAAGGAUGUUUCAUUAAUCAGUGAACGAAAGUUAGGGGAUCGAAGACGAUCAGAUACCGUCGUAGUCUUAACCGUAAACUAUGCCGACUAGGGAUCGGGCGAUGUUCUUUUUCUGACUCGCUCGGCACCUUACGAGAAAUCAAAGUUUUUGGGCUUCUGGGGGAUUAUGGUCGCAAGGCUGAAACUUAAAGAAAUUGACGGAAGGUCACCACCAGGCGUGGAGCCUGCGGCUUAAUUUGACUCAACACGGGGAAACUCACCAGGUCCAGAUGAAAUAAGGAUUGACAGAUUGAGAGCUCUUUCUUGAUUUUUCAGGUGGUGGUGCAUGGCCGUUCUUAGUUCGUGGGGUGACUUGUCUGCUUAAUUGCGAUAACGAGCGAGACCUUACUCUGCUAAAUAGCCAGGCUAACUUUGGUUGGUCGCCGGCUUCUUAGAGAGACUAUCAACUCAAGUUGAUGGAAGUUUGAGGCAAUAACAGGUCUGUGAUGCCCUUAGAUGUUCUGGGCCGCACGCGCGCUACACUGACAGAGCCAACGAGUUCUUUUCCUUGUUCGAAAGAAUUGGGUAAUCUUGUUAAACUCUGUCGUGCUGGGGAUAAAGCAUUGCAAUUAUUGCUUUUCAACGAGGAAUGCCUAGUAAGCGCGUGUCAUCAGCAUGCGUUGAUUACGUCCCUGACCUUUGUACACCCGCCCGUCGCUACUACCGAUUGAAUGGCUCAGUGAGGCCUUCGGACUGGCUCGAGGAGGUUGGCAACGACCACCUCAAGCCGGAAAGUUCGUCAAACUCGGUCAUUUAGAGGAAGUAAAAGUCGUAACAAGGUCUCCGUAGGUGAACCUGCGGAGG
Molecule: ribosomal RNA, 1766 nt
Filed under: Alternaria alternata
Lineage: Eukaryota; Fungi; Ascomycota; Dothideomycetes; Pleosporales; Pleosporaceae
Description: SSU rRNA
Rfam family: Eukaryotic small subunit ribosomal RNA
Source: RNAcentral